Molecule: long non-coding RNA, 3122 nt
Filed under: Mus musculus (house mouse)
Lineage: Eukaryota; Metazoa; Chordata; Mammalia; Rodentia; Muridae
Description: predicted gene 11131
Source: RNAcentral
GAAAGGGAAACCAGUCCCGCGUCCGUUCUGCUCAGAACCUCGAACUUGGGGCCCGGGACGUCUCGGGCCCCUGUUUUGGGACGUGGAGGGGUCGUGACCUCCGAUCCGGGGUCACUCACCGCCCGCGCUCUGGUUGUAGUAGCUGAGCAGGGUCCUCAGGUUCACUCGGAAAAUCUGCUCAUUGCCCUUGGCUUUCUGUGUUUCCCGCUCCCAAUACUCCGGCCCCUCCUGCUCCAUCCACGGUGCCCGCGGCUCAUAUCUCGGAUUCUCCGCGUCGCUGUCGAAGCGCACGAACUCCGUGUUGUCCACGUAACCGACAGAGAUGAACCGGGGCUCCCCAAGGCCCGGCCGGGACACGGAGGUGUAGAAAUAACUCAGCAAGUGUGGGCCUGGAGGCAGGGCGCGAGGCCAUUUCCCUCCGGACCCGGUACUCACCCGCGCGGAUCUCGAUCAGGGUCUGGGCGACUGCCACCAGCAGAAGCAGCAUUGUUGACGCCAUUGCUCCCCUCUGGGAUUCUGGGCAUCUGACUCUGGCGGGCUGUGUGGACUUUAUAACCUGCUCCCGCGGCGACGAUGAUUGGUUCCCGGUGAUCACGUCACCCAAUGGGGGUGAGAACUGCCAGUAAGUCAUCAGUGUCCGGGCAGAAGGACCUGACCCAAGUUAGGAGCAGAAGUGAAACUGGGGAGAUGGGAAAUCCCCACCCCUGAUCUCACUGCCUGGAGACUAAGACUUUGCCUGAACCCUGUGCUGUGGACAGAGAGCUGUUUGUCUUGGUGUCUCCGAGUUCUGACCCAGAAGCUGUCAGGACACCAGGAGAGAAGAGACCUGCAGGCCAGACUCUCUGUAUCUUCCCUCCACCCUUCCUCUUCCUUCUUCUCUUCAGAAGUCAGACCCUGGAGCCUUCCAGAAGAAAAGCCACUUCCAGGAAUACAAUGGCAACACAAGCGCUUGGGGAUGCAGUGGAGAGAGGCUUCUCCUUAAAGCAGAGGCGCUGGCCUGCAAGCCCCAUUAGAACACCACAGAGACCAGGCUCUGUUCACCUGCAGUGGGCGGCUCACACUGCCAAGCCUGAGUGCAGGACUCUCUUCUAUAAAGAGGAUACUUCGUCUUUUCCCUCAGGAUCUGUCUUCUCAGCCCUGUGCUGGGACACAGAUUCCUUGUGUCACUUCCUAGAUGAAGUCUGUGGCUGCAGGUUUUUUGUUUGUUUCUUUUUUGUUUUUUUAAAAACAAAGAUCUUCCUUCUGAGUUUGUCUCUGUGGACCUGGGACAUUGUCUCAGCACAGGAGACCCCCUUGUCCACUGAAGAGAGACCCCUGUGCAGACCACAGACAGCAGGGCACUGAUCCCUGUCUCCACUUCACUUCUCUGUGACUGUACUUCCAUGGUGCAGUUGCUUUAGUGACUCAAUAACAGUAGGAGAGGAACUGUCACCAACUAUAACACAGAAUAAUGAUGAUAGUACGGUAGAAGCUAUGUAAUUUCUGACCCUCUCCCUCCCUCCCUGACCUUCACUCACACUUUUGAACUGAUGAGGUGAGGGACAUGAAUGUCACAGCUGUGUGGGACACUGGUUCUGAUAACCGAGUUGGCCCCAGAGUUUCUCAGGCCUGUGCAGUGUGGACACUGGAAGAAAGAUGAUUCUCAUGCCAGAGAGCACACACUGGUGAUGUGAGGUUUCAUCCCUGAUCAGUAGUGUGGGGGAAGAUUAAUUUUACCCAUUUCAUGAUUCUGUGGAUCUUUUCAAACCAUAGCCACAGAAGUGAAGUGGAAAGAAGAGCAGAGUUGGGUGGGGACUCCUGAAGAGAGUCACUCAUCACACAGAGCAACAAAUGUGUGUGACCACCGGUGUGAACUCCAGUCACCUCCCCAUGCAGAUCUCCACAGCAGCCCCCCAGAUUCACCGGGAUUCAGCAGACCCUGUCUCCCUGAACCACUGUUAUUGGAUGCUGUGAGCAUUUUCCGUGGGGAUUUGAUGCUCUUAGGUUUCUUCCUGACCAACCUAGAGAUGCUGUUGGGGUUAGGCAGUGCUUCACAGAGAGGAUCUGUCUCCAUUACAUUUCUUCUUAUUUUACUAUGUGUUGUUUUUUUUUUUUUUUUUUUUUUUUUUUGUUUUUUGUUUUUUUUUUUUUUGACAAGGUCUAUCUGCACAGCCCUGGCUAUUCGGGAAUUCAUUAUGUAGAUCAUGUUGCCCUUGCCUUUGCAUCCUAAGUGCUGGGUGUCUUAGUUUUGGUUUUGUUGUGGUGAUGAAACACCAUGACCAAGGCAUUCCUUCCUAAGAGAAACAUUUAGUAGAGGCUGGCUUACAGUUUCAGGGAUUUAGUCCAUUAUAACAGGAAGCAUGCCAGUGUGCAGGUACACAUGGUGCUGGAGGAGAUGAGACUUCUACACCUUGAUCCAAAGACAGCCAGGGAGAGGCUUUCCUUCCACACUGGGCAGAGCAUGAGCAUGGGAGACCUCAAAGCCCAACCUCACAGUGACACACUUCCUCCAACAAGGUCACACCUCCUAAUAGUGCCACUCCUUGUGGGCCAAGCUUUCAAACACAUGAGUCUAUGGGGCCACCUAUUCAAUCCACCACACUGGGAUUGAAGGCCUGUGUCACCACACCAGCUUCAGUUAGUUUUUUAUUACUGUGAUAAGACACUGUAACCAAGGCAACAUAUAAAAGAAUGUGUUUAAUCUCUUCUCUAGAUUCAGAGGUUUUGAGUCCAUGAUGACAGAGUGAAGGUGGUGGAGGAACAGCUGAGAACUCAGGACUUGAUUUGCAAGCAAAGGCUGAGACACUGGGUGUGAGGAGCCGGUGUGGCAACAGUCCCAAGAUGGCGCCCGGGACUGCAGCCAAGUCUUAUGACUUGUACCUGACUUCCUCAUACACCUUAAAAAAAGUCACGACCAUUGUGAGAACUGAGCAGGUGCACCAUGAUGCAGGAUCGGACCAUAUGAUGAGUGAUGAUUCUGGCCAAUGGACUGCUGUUACAUGGACUGGGCUGAUGGGGCGUGGUUGAGGGGUUAUAUAAGGGAUUGCGAUUGGGGGUGGAGUAAGGAGAUUCCUAGAGAGAUUGAUUUCUGGAGAGAGAUUCCUGCAUGCAUGUUGAAAGGUUCCUGAAUAAACUGCUUUGAG